CAGUAGCCGCGGUAAUACGGAGGGUGCAAGCGUUAAUCGGAAUUACUGGGCGUAAAACGCACGCAGGCGGUUUGUUAAGUCAGAUGUGAAAUCCCCGAGCUUAACUUGGGAACUGCAUUUGAAACUGGCAAGCUAGAGUCUUGUAGAGGGGGGUAGAAUUCCAGGUGUAGCGGUGAAAUGCGUAGAGAUCUGGAGGAAUACCGGUGGCGAAGGCGGCCCCCUGGACAAAGACUGACGCUCAGGUGCGAAAGCGUGGGGAGCAAACAGGAUUAGAUACCCCUGUAGUCCCUGUCUCUUAUAC
RNAcentral lists this ribosomal RNA (301 nucleotides) under uncultured bacterium. RNAcentral describes it as "partial 16S ribosomal RNA". It matches the Rfam family "Bacterial small subunit ribosomal RNA", at positions 509 to 807 of the family's 1533-position model. The record is from RNAcentral.